This is a long non-coding RNA of Symphalangus syndactylus (siamang), 423 nucleotides long. RefSeq lists it as uncharacterized. The record is from RefSeq and is a predicted model, not a curated record. Lineage: Eukaryota; Metazoa; Chordata; Mammalia; Primates; Hylobatidae.
ACAAGUCAAAAUUUUCAUUAACUCAGUAGUCUUUCACAGAAAGGAAUCUGAGAAUUCUUCCACUCACGAGUAAUGUGUUAAAGAAUGAGAAAAGAGCAUAUGUUUUCCUUGGCUUUUGGGUUAAUACAAUAAAGCCUGUGAAGUUUAACAUAAUUAAAUUAAUGUUGAUAUGCAGUGUGACUUGUUCACAGAGAAAUGGUAUUUGACUUAGAGCUAAUGCCACACCACAGCUGACACACAUCCAUCUGCAAAUGUUGUAUAGAAAGUCUUCUAAGAUCUUCAGAUGGAAGUUCUGUCAAGUAUGUUGGUGGCUCUAAAAAAAGUGGGGUGGAGAAAAGCAGAGAAAGAAGACACAAAGAAAAAACAAAACCGCCAGAAACCUACUAUGUGAAGCAUAUGGCCAAAGUAAGUAAACUACCCUUG